UACGUAGGUGGCAAGCGUUGUCCGGAUUUAUUGGGCGUAAAGCGAGCGCAGGCGGUCUUUUAAGUCUGAUGUGAAAGCCCCCGGCUUAACCGGGGAGGGUCAUUGGAAACUGGGAGACUUGAGUGCAGAAGAGGAAAGCGGAAUUCCAUGUGUAGCGGUGAAAUGCGUAGAUAUAUGGAAGAACACCAGUGGCGAAGGCGGCUUUCUAGUCUGUAACUGACGCUGAGGCUCGAAAGCGUGGGGAGCAAACAGG
Molecule: ribosomal RNA, 253 nt
Filed under: uncultured bacterium
Lineage: Bacteria
Description: partial 16S ribosomal RNA
Rfam family: Bacterial small subunit ribosomal RNA
Source: RNAcentral